UAUCCUAUCCUAUCCUCAAAAAAUGCAAAAAAAAAUCCAAAGUGAAAAUUUUGAGAAAUUCUUUCUAUUUUAUGAUUCCUUAACGAAUUUCGAAUCGUGGAGUGCUUUUGGAUUUUCAAAAAUCGAAAAACGAAGAAGUUACAGCAUUUUUGACCUUAAAAAAAUGCAUGCUUUAGGAUUUUCGAAAUUCGAAUGGUAUUUGGCUUAUUUUAUGUUAUUCAACGGCCAAGGUUUUAUAAAGGCGAUUUUGUGGUACAUAUAACGGCCAAAAGACUGAAUGGAUUUUAAUUGAAUUGGACAUCAAUCCAAAGAUAUUUUUAGAGAAGCGACGAAUAUAUUAUUGGAAAUUAUUUUGUCUUAAAGAAAUGUCAUAAAAAUGAACAAUCAAUUUUCAAUUAAUAAAGAAGAAUCAUGAACACAUCAAA
This is a long non-coding RNA of Stomoxys calcitrans (stable fly), 425 nucleotides long. RefSeq lists it as uncharacterized. Lineage: Eukaryota; Metazoa; Arthropoda; Insecta; Diptera; Muscidae. The transcript has 2 exons. The record is from RefSeq and is a predicted model, not a curated record.